Molecule: ribosomal RNA, 253 nt
Filed under: uncultured bacterium
Lineage: Bacteria
Description: partial 16S ribosomal RNA
Rfam family: Bacterial small subunit ribosomal RNA
Source: RNAcentral
UACGGAGGGUGCAAGCGUUAUCCGGAUUUACUGGGUUUAAAGGGUGCGUAGGUGGGUCUGUAAGUCAGUGGUGAAAUCUCCGAGCUUAACUCGGAAACUGCCAUUGAUACUAUAGGUCUUGAAUUAUCUGGAGGUAAGCGGAAUAUGUCAUGUAGCGGUGAAAUGCUUAGAUAUGACAUAGAACACCAAUUGCGAAGGCAGCUCGCUACACGAAUAUUGACUCUGAGGCACGAAAGCGUGGGGAUCAAACAGG